This 1462-nucleotide ribosomal RNA is filed under the name human gut metagenome. RNAcentral's name for it is "bacterial LSU rRNA". It matches the Rfam family "Bacterial large subunit ribosomal RNA", at positions 495 to 1977 of the family's 2925-position model. The record is from RNAcentral.
AUAGUACCGUGAGGGAAAGGUGAAAAGAACCCCGGGAGGGGAGUGAAAAAGAACCUGAAACCCUGUGUUUACAAGCAGUGAAAGUGCGAGCAAGGCACGAUCACGUACUUUUUGUAGAACGGACCGGCGAGUUACGUUAUGCAGCAAGGUUAAGAACUGAAGGUUCGGAGCCGAAGCGAAAGCGAGUCUGAAUAGGGCGAAAGUUGCAUGACGUAGACCCGAAACCGGGUGACCUAUCCAUGAGCAGGUUGAAGUGGAGGUAAAGCUCCAUGGAGGACCGAACCAGACGUCUGUUGAAAAAGGCGGGGAUGACUUGUGGAUAGGGGAGAAAUUCCAAUCGAACCCGGAGAUAGCUGGUUCUCCUCGAAAUAGCUUUAGGGCUAGCCUCAUGGAUCAUUGGUGGGGGUAGAGCACUGAAUGUGCGCGGGGGCCACAAAGCCUACCAAACGCUAUCAAACUUCGAAUACCAUACAAUGCAGACCAUGGGAGUCAGUCCGCGAGAGAUAAGUUCCGCGGGCAAAAGGGGAACACCCCAGAUCAACCGCUAAGGUCCCCAAGUUCACGUUAAGUGGAGAAGGAUGUGGAAUUGCACAGACAACCAGGAUGUUGGCUCAGAAGCAGCCACACAUUUAAAGAGUGCGUAAUAGCUCACUGGUCGAGUGAUUGUGCGCCGAAGAUGUCCGGGGCUAAACGUGACACCGAAGCGAUGGGUGCAUCUGAAAGGAUGCGCGGUAGAGGAGCAAUGUGCAGAGGCAGAAGCCGUAUCGAGAGGCACGGUGGACACUGCACAAGAGAGAAUGCCGGUAUGAGUAGCGAGAGGCAUGCGAGAAACAUGCCCGUCGAAAGCCCAAGGUUUCCUGGGGAAGGUUCAUCCGCCCAGGGUAAGUCGGGGCCUAAGCCGAGGACGGAAGUCGUAGGCGAUGGACAGCAGGUGUAGAUUCCUGCACUACCGAUGGAAUGAAGCAGUGACACAGAAGGAUAACUCGAGCAGGGUGAUGGUCAACCCUGUGCAAGCAUCAAGGUUGGGUUGUAGUGAAGUACGCAACCCUAUAAGCUGAGGUGUGAUGCGGACCGAAAUUUCAGUAGGGAAGCGAGUGAGUUCACGCUGGCGAGAAAAGCUGCUAGUACAUCCAAAGGUACCCGUACCGGAAACCGACGCAGGUGGGCGAGGAGAGAAUCCUGAGACGAACGGGAGAACCCUUGUUAAGGAACUCGGCAAAAUGACCCCGUAACUUCGGGAGAAGGGGUGCCUCGAAAGAGGCCGCAGAGAAUAGUCACAAGCGACUGUUUAGCAAAAACACAGGUAUCUGCGAAAGCGAGAGCUGACGUAUAGGUGCUGACACCUGCCCGGUGCUGGAAGGUUAAGGGAACAUGUUAGAGCAAUCGAAGCAUCGAACCGAAGCCCCAGUAAACGGCGGCCGUAACUAUAACGGUCCUAAGGUAGCGAAAUUCCUUGUCGGGU